Molecule: ribosomal RNA, 2932 nt
Filed under: Klebsiella aerogenes
Lineage: Bacteria; Pseudomonadati; Pseudomonadota; Gammaproteobacteria; Enterobacterales; Enterobacteriaceae
Description: bacterial LSU rRNA
Rfam family: Bacterial large subunit ribosomal RNA
Source: RNAcentral
GGGUUGUGAGGUUAAGCGACUAAGCGUACACGGUGGAUGCCCUGGCAGUCAGAGGCGAUGAAGGACGUGCUAAUCUGCGAAAAGCGUCGGUAAGGUGAUAUGAACCGUUAUAGCCGGCGAUGUCCGAAUGGGGAAACCCAGUGUGAUUCGUCACACUAUCGUUAACUGAAUACAUAGGUUAACGAGGCGAACCGGGGGAACUGAAACAUCUAAGUACCCCGAGGAAAAGAAAUCAACCGAGAUUCCCCCAGUAGCGGCGAGCGAACGGGGAGCAGCCCAGAGUCUGAAUCAGCUUGUGUGUUAGUGGAACGGUCUGGAAAGUCCGACGGUACAGGGUGAUAGUCCCGUACACCAAAAUGCACAGGCUGUGAACUCGAAGAGUAGGGCGGGACACGUGGUAUCCUGUCUGAAUAUGGGGGGACCAUCCUCCAAGGCUAAAUACUCCUGACUGACCGAUAGUGAACCAGUACCGUGAGGGAAAGGCGAAAAGAACCCCGGCGAGGGGAGUGAAAAAGAACCUGAAACCGUGUACGUACAAGCAGUGGGAGCACCUUCGGGUGUGACUGCGUACCUUUUGUAUAAUGGGUCAGCGACUUAUAUUCUGUAGCAAGGUUAACCGUAUAGGGGAGCCGCAGGGAAACCGAGUCUUAACUGGGCGUUAAGUUGCAGGGUAUAGACCCGAAACCCGGUGAUCUAGCCAUGGGCAGGUUGAAGGUUGGGUAACACUAACUGGAGGACCGAACCGACUAAUGUUGAAAAAUUAGCGGAUGACUUGUGGCUGGGGGUGAAAGGCCAAUCAAACCGGGAGAUAGCUGGUUCUCCCCGAAAGCUAUUUAGGUAGCGCCUCGUGAAUUCAUCUUCGGGGGUAGAGCACUGUUUCGGCUAGGGGGUCAUCCCGACUUACCAACCCGAUGCAAACUACGAAUACCGAAGAAUGUUAUCACGGGAGACACACGGCGGGUGCUAACGUCCGUCGUGAAGAGGGAAACAACCCAGACCGCCAGCUAAGGUCCCAAAGUCACAGUUAAGUGGGAAACGAUGUGGGAAGGCACAGACAGCCAGGAUGUUGGCUUAGAAGCAGCCAUCAUUUAAAGAAAGCGUAAUAGCUCACUGGUCGAGUCGGCCUGCGCGGAAGAUGUAACGGGGCUAAACUGUGCACCGAAGCUGCGGCAGCGACACUAUGUGUUGUUGGGUAGGGGAGCGUUCUGUAAGCCUGCGAAGGUGGCCUGUGAGGGUUGCUGGAGGUAUCAGAAGUGCGAAUGCUGACAUAAGUAACGAUAAUGCGGGUGAAAAGCCCGCACGCCGGAAGACCAAGGGUUCCUGUCCAACGUUAAUCGGGGCAGGGUGAGUCGACCCCUAAGGCGAGGCCGAAAGGCGUAGUCGAUGGGAAACAGGUUAAUAUUCCUGUACUUGGUGUUACUGCGAAGGGGGGACGGAGAAGGCUAUGUUAGCCGGGCGACGGUUGUCCCGGUUUAAGCAUGUAGGCGGAGGUUCCAGGUAAAUCCGGUACCUUUUUAACGCUGAGGUGUGAUGACGAGGCACUACGGUGCUGAAGUAACAAAUGCCCUGCUUCCAGGAAAAGCCUCUAAGCAUCAGGUAACAUUGAAUCGUACCCCAAACCGACACAGGUGGUCAGGUAGAGAAUACCAAGGCGCUUGAGAGAACUCGGGUGAAGGAACUAGGCAAAAUGGUGCCGUAACUUCGGGAGAAGGCACGCUGAUAUGUAGGUGAAGCCCCUGCGGGUGGAGCUGAAAUCAGUCGAAGAUACCAGCUGGCUGCAACUGUUUAUUAAAAACACAGCACUGUGCAAACACGAAAGUGGACGUAUACGGUGUGACGCCUGCCCGGUGCCGGAAGGUUAAUUGAUGGGGUUAUCCGUAAGGAGAAGCUCUUGAUCGAAGCCCCGGUAAACGGCGGCCGUAACUAUAACGGUCCUAAGGUAGCGAAAUUCCUUGUCGGGUAAGUUCCGACCUGCACGAAUGGCGUAAUGAUGGCCAGGCUGUCUCCACCCGAGACUCAGUGAAAUUGAACUCGCUGUGAAGAUGCAGUGUACCCGCGGCAAGACGGAAAGACCCCGUGAACCUUUACUAUAGCUUGACACUGAACAUUGAGCCUUGAUGUGUAGGAUAGGUGGGAGGCUUUGAAGCGUGGACGCCAGUCUGCGUGGAGCCAACCUUGAAAUACCACCCUUUAAUGUUUGAUGUUCUAACGUUGGCCCCUUAUCGGGGUUGCGGACAGUGUCUGGUGGGUAGUUUGACUGGGGCGGUCUCCUCCCAAAGAGUAACGGAGGAGCACGAAGGUUAGCUAAUCCUGGUCGGACAUCAGGAGGUUAGUGCAAUGGCAUAAGCUAGCUUGACUGCGAGCGUGACGGCGCGAGCAGGUGCGAAAGCAGGUCAUAGUGAUCCGGUGGUUCUGAAUGGAAGGGCCAUCGCUCAACGGAUAAAAGGUACUCCGGGGAUAACAGGCUGAUACCGCCCAAGAGUUCAUAUCGACGGCGGUGUUUGGCACCUCGAUGUCGGCUCAUCACAUCCUGGGGCUGAAGUAGGUCCCAAGGGUAUGGCUGUUCGCCAUUUAAAGUGGUACGCGAGCUGGGUUUAGAACGUCGUGAGACAGUUCGGUCCCUAUCUGCCGUGGGCGCUGGAGAAUUGAGGGGGGCUGCUCCUAGUACGAGAGGACCGGAGUGGACGCAUCACUGGUGUUCGGGUUGUCAUGCCAAUGGCAUUGCCCGGUAGCUAAAUGCGGAAGAGAUAAGUGCUGAAAGCAUCUAAGCACGAAACUUGCCCCGAGAUGAGUUCUCCCUGAGACUUUAAGUCUCCUGAAGGAACGUUAAAGACGAUGACGUUGAUAGGUCGGGUGUGUAAGCGUAGCGAUACGUUGAGCUAACCGAUACUAAUGAACCGUGAGGCUUAACCUUACAACGCCGAAGGUGUUU